RNAcentral lists this transfer RNA (62 nucleotides) under Cryptocellus narino. RNAcentral describes it as "tRNA-Leu". The record is from RNAcentral. Lineage: Eukaryota; Metazoa; Arthropoda; Arachnida; Ricinulei; Ricinoididae.
GUUAAUGUGGCAAAAGUUUUAUGUGUUGAAUUUAAGCUUCAUGGAUGAUGUUUCCUUUAACG